UAGCAUAUCAAUAAGCGGAGGAAAAGAAACUAACAAGGAUUCCCCUAGUAACUGCGAGUGAAGCGGGAAAAGCUCAAAUUUUAAAUCUGGCGGUCUCAGGCCCGUCCGAGUUGUAAUCUAGAGAAGUGAUGCCCGCGCUGGACCGUGUACAAGUCUCCUGGGAUGGAGCGUCAUAGAGGGUGAGAAUCCCGUCUCUGACACGGACUACCAGGGCUUUGUGGUACGCUCUCAAAGAGUCGAGUUGUUUGGGAAUGCAGCUCAAAAUGGGUGGUAAAUUCCAUCUAAAGCUAAAUAUUGGCGAGAGACCGAUAGCGAACAAGUACCGUGAGGGAAAGAUGAAAAGAACUUUGGAAAGAGAGUUAAACAGUACGUGAAAUUGCUGAAAGGGAAACGCUUGAAGUCAGUCGCGUUGGCCGGGAAUCAGCCUCGCUUUUGCGUGGUGUACUUUCCGGUUGACGGGUCAGCAUCAAUUUUGAUUGCUGGAAAAAGGCUUGGGGAAUGUGGCAGCUUCUGCUGUGUUAUAGCCCCAUGUCACAUACGGCGAUUGGGAUUGAGGAACUCAGCACGCCGAAAGGCCGGGUUUCGACCACGUUCGUGCUUAGGAUGCUGGCAUAAUGGCUUUAAGCGACCCGUCUUGAAACACGGACCAAGGAGUCUAACAUGCCUGCGAGUGUUUGGGUGGAAAACCCGAGCGCGUAAUGAAAGUGAAAGUUGAGAUCCCUGUCGUGGGGAGCAUCGACGCCCGGACCAGAACUUUUGGGACGGAUCCGCGGUAGAGCAUGUAUGUUGGGACCCGAAAGAUGGUGAACUAUGCCUGAAUAGGGUGAAGCCAGAGGAAACUCUGGUGGAGGCUCGUAGCGAUUCUGACGUGCAAAUCGAUCGUCAAAUUUGGGUAUAGGGGCGAAAGACUAAUCGAACCAUCUAGUAGCUGGUUCUGCGACCCCUCCCCUCCCGUGGGU
This 959-nucleotide ribosomal RNA is filed under the name Chamaeota sp. RNAcentral describes it as "partial large subunit ribosomal RNA". It matches the Rfam family "Eukaryotic large subunit ribosomal RNA", at positions 36 to 979 of the family's 3401-position model. The record is from RNAcentral. Lineage: Eukaryota; Fungi; Basidiomycota; Agaricomycetes; Agaricales; Pluteaceae.